CCUACGGGCGGCAGCAGUGAGGAAUAUUGGUCAAUGGACGCAAGUCUGAACCAGCCAUGUAGCGUGCAGGAUGACUGCUCUAUGAGUUGUAAACUGCUUUUGUACGAGGAUAACUCCCGACACGUGUACCGUGUUGUAUGUACCGUACGAAUAAGGAUCGGCUAACUCCGUGCCAGUAGCCGCGGUAAUACGGAGGAUUCAAGCGUUAUCCGGAUUUAUUGGGUUUAAAGGGUGCGUAGGCGGGUCGAUAAGUUAGAUGUGAAAUCCCGGGGCUCAACUGCGGCACUGCCACUGAUACUGGCAGGCUAGAGUAUAGUUGCGGUAGGCGGAAUGUGUGGUGUAGCGGUGAAAUGCAUAGAGAUCAUACAGAACACCGAUUGCGAAGGCAGCUUACCAAACUACGACUGACGUUGAGGCACGAAAGUGUGGGUAGCAAACAGGAUUAGAUACCCGGGUAGUC
Molecule: ribosomal RNA, 460 nt
Filed under: uncultured bacterium
Lineage: Bacteria
Description: partial 16S ribosomal RNA
Rfam family: Bacterial small subunit ribosomal RNA
Source: RNAcentral